RNAcentral lists this ribosomal RNA (1581 nucleotides) under Dasyurus geoffroii (western quoll). RNAcentral's name for it is "16S ribosomal RNA". It matches the Rfam family "Bacterial large subunit ribosomal RNA". The record is from RNAcentral. Lineage: Eukaryota; Metazoa; Chordata; Mammalia; Dasyuromorphia; Dasyuridae.
GCAAGAUCUAGUCCUAGAAAUACACUAUAUUAAACUAUUUUUUAAACUUACAAAACAUUCAAUUAAACCCUAGUAUAGGAGAUAGAAAAGAUAAGUCAUCAGGCACAAUAGAGAGAGUACCGUGAGGGAACGUUGAAAGAUUUCAUCCUAUAAGCAACAAAAAGCAAAGACUUCACCUUCUACCUUUUGCAUAAUGAUUUAGCUAGUCAAACCGGACAAAAAGAAUUAAAGCCCGUCUUCCCGAAAUUAAGUGAGCUAUUAUAGAACAGUUAAAAGAACAAACUCGUCUGUGUAGCAAAACAGUGAGAUGAUUUUAUAAUAGAGGUGAAAGGCCUAUCGAACUUAAUGAUAGCUGGUUGUCCAAAAAAUGAAUUUAAGUUCGACUUUAAAUUUAACUUAAGUAUUCACAAACACUAUUUAAAUUUAAAUGCUACUCAAAAGAGGGACAACUCUUUUGAUAUGUAGACAAACUUUUAUAGAGGAUAAUGAAACCUAUACAAUACAUUGUAGGCCUAAAAGCAGCCAUCAACUAAGAAAGCGUUAAAGCUCAAACUUACCCAGCAUUUAAUACCUUAAACUAAUCAAAAUCCCUAACCUUAUAUUGGACAAUUCUAUAAUUACUUAGAAGAUAUAAUGCUAAUAUGAGUAACCUGAAUUAAUUCUCCUUGCACAAGCAUAAAUACAGAUCGGAACAACCGCUUACACUUAAUCAAAUAGAUAACUAUAAUCACAUACUAGUACCAUACCACACAUUUCGUUAAUCCAACCCAGGUGUGCAUACAAAGGAAAGAUUAAAAGGAAUAAAAGGAACUCGGCAAACAUGAACCCCGCCUGUUUACCAAAAACAUCACCUCUAGCACUUACCAGUAUUAGAGGCACUGCCUGCCCGGUGAGUUGUGACUUUAACGGCCGCGGUAUCCUGACCGUGCAAAGGUAGCAUAAUCACUUGUCUCUUAAUUGGAGACUAGUAUGAAUGGCAUCACGAGGGCCUCAACUGUCUCUUAUUCCCAAUCAGUGAAAUUGACCUUCCCGUGCAGAGGCGGGAAUAUAUAUACAAGGACGAGAAGACCCUGUGGGAGCUUAAGUCCCAUAACUCAACAAAUACGAACUAAUACCCUACUGGAAUAAACCGUAUAUGCCACUGAGUUAUAGUCUUUGGUUGGGGUGACCUCGGAGCAUAAAAUAACCUCCGAAUGAAUAUUAACCUAGAUUAACAAAUCCAAGUGUAACAAUACCAGUAAUUGACCCAUAUUUUGAUCAACGGAACAAGUUACCCCAGGGAUAACAGCGCAAUCCUAUUUGAGAGCCCAUAUCGAAAAUUAGGGUUUACGACCUCGAUGUUGGAUCAGGACAUCCAAAUGGUGCAACCGCUAUUAAAGGUUCGUUUGUUCAACGAUUAAAGUCCUACGUGAUCUGAGUUCAGACCGGAGAAAUCCAGGUCGGUUUCUAUCUGUAAAUUCAUUUCUCCCAGUACGAAAGGACAAGAGAAAUAGGGCCAACACUCCAAAUAAGCCCUAGAACCAAUAUAUGAAUAAAUCUAAAUAUACUAAACCAAUAUACACCCAUACCCCAGAAUAGGGU